AGCUUGCUCUGUGGGAUCAGUGGCGAACGGGUGAGUAACACGUGAGCAACCUGCCCCUGACUCUGGGAUAAGCGCUGGAAACGGCGUCUAAUACUGGAUACGAGUAGCGAUCGCAUGGUCAGCUACUGGAAAGAUUUAUUGGUUGGGGAUGGGCUCGCGGCCUAUCAGCUUGUUGGUGAGGUAAUGGCUCACCAAGGCGUCGACGGGUAGCCGGCCUGAGAGGGUGACCGGCCACACUGGGACUGAGACACGGCCCAGACUCCUACGGGAGGCAGCAGUGGGGAAUAUUGCACAAUGGGCGCAAGCCUGAUGCAGCAACGCCGCGUGAGGGAUGACGGCCUUCGGGUUGUAAACCUCUUUUAGCAGGGAAGAAGCGAAAGUGACGGUACCUGCAGAAAAAGCGCCGGCUAACUACGUGCCAGCAGCCGCGGUAAUACGUAGGGCGCAAGCGUUAUCCGGAAUUAUUGGGCGUAAAGAGCUCGUAGGCGGUUUGUCGCGUCUGCUGUGAAAUCCGGAGGCUCAACCUCCGGCCUGCAGUGGGUACGGGCAGACUAGAGUGCGGUAGGGGAGAUUGGAAUUCCUGGUGUAGCGGUGGAAUGCGCAGAUAUCAGGAGGAACACCGAUGGCGAAGGCAGAUCUCUGGGCCGUAACUGACGCUGAGGAGCGAAAGGGUGGGGAGCAAACAGGCUUAGAUACCCUGGUAGUCCACCCCGUAAACGUUGGGAACUAGUUGUGGGGUC
RNAcentral lists this ribosomal RNA (740 nucleotides) under Microbacterium phyllosphaerae. RNAcentral's name for it is "bacterial SSU rRNA". It matches the Rfam family "Bacterial small subunit ribosomal RNA", at positions 77 to 829 of the family's 1533-position model. The record is from RNAcentral. Lineage: Bacteria; Bacillati; Actinomycetota; Actinomycetes; Micrococcales; Microbacteriaceae.